Molecule: ribosomal RNA, 245 nt
Filed under: uncultured bacterium
Lineage: Bacteria
Description: partial 16S ribosomal RNA
Rfam family: Bacterial small subunit ribosomal RNA
Source: RNAcentral
UACAGAGACCUCAAGCGUUACUCGGAUUCACUGGGCGUAAAGGGUACGUAGGUGGCAGUGUGUGUUGGAUGUGAAAUUCCGGAGCUUAACUCCGGCGCUGCGUCCAAAACUAUAUUGCUAGAGUGGUGUAGAGAAGAGCGGAAUUUCUGGUGUAGCGGUAAAAUGCGUAGAUAUCAGAAAGAACACCGAUGGCGAAGGCAGCUCUUUGGGCACCUACUGACACUGAGGUACGAAAGCGUGGGGAG